Molecule: long non-coding RNA, 226 nt
Filed under: Selaginella moellendorffii
Lineage: Eukaryota; Viridiplantae; Streptophyta; Lycopodiopsida; Selaginellales; Selaginellaceae
Description: long non-coding RNA (SMOE_LNC001055)
Source: RNAcentral
AACGACCAGGCUAGCGACAUUCUUUUUUGAUGAACUUGGGACUUCAACUAUGUGGUUCCAAGACAUGAUGGCGUCUUAUGCAGUUGAGUGUCAAGGAUUGAGUGGUCUAAAGUCUCGGAAUCAUCAUUCCGUACUUAAGCCUUCACAAAAACAGAAUGCCUCAAACAUUUGCCCAUUACAGGCAAAUGCUGAGAGGAGGUUUACCUUAACUUUGUAUCCUCGCAGC